RNAcentral lists this ribosomal RNA (500 nucleotides) under uncultured bacterium. Its description in RNAcentral is "bacterial SSU rRNA". It matches the Rfam family "Bacterial small subunit ribosomal RNA", at positions 28 to 530 of the family's 1533-position model. The record is from RNAcentral.
GAUGAACGCUGGCGGCGUGCCUCAAACAUGCAAGUCGAGCGGGGCUAUGUAAUAUCGCAAGGUAGAACAUAGCCUAGCGGCGAACGGGUGAGUAACACGUGGGUAACCUGCCUGGAAGACAGGGAUAACGAUUCGAAAGGGUCGCUAAUACCUGAUAAUAUCCUUUCAUCGCAUGGUGAUAGGAAGAAAGGGGAAACCCGCUUUCAGAUGGGCCCGCGUCCCAUCAGCUAGUUGGUAAGGUAAAGGCUUACCAAGGCGACGACGGGUAGCCGGUCUGAGAGGAUGUACGGCCACACUGGGACUGAGAUACGGCCCAGACUCCUACGGGAGGCAGCAGUUGGGAAUCUUAGGCAAUGGACGAAGUCUGACCUAGCGACGCCGCGUGAGGGAAGAAGGGCCUUGGGUUGUAAACCUCUGUCAGUGGGGGAAGAAGUAAGUGACGGUACCCCAAGAGGAAGCCCCUGCUAACUACGGCCAGCAGCCGCGGUAAUAGUACCUAU